AGAGCGAACGCUGGCGGCAGGCUUAACACAUGCAAGUCGAGCGGGCGUAGCAAUACGUCAGCGGCAGACGGGUGAGUAACGCGUGGGAACGUACCUUUUGGUUCGGAACAACUGAGGGAAACUUCAGCUAAUACCGAAUAAGCCCUUACGGGGAAAGAUUUAUCGCCGAAAGAUCGGCCCGCGUCUGAUUAGCUUGUUGGUGAGGUAAUGGCUCACCAAGGCGACGAUCAGUAGCUGGUCUGAGAGGAUGAUCAGCCACAUUGGGACUGAGACACGGCCCAAACUCCUACGGGAGGCAGCAGUGGGGAAUAUUGGACAAUGGGCGCAAGCCUGAUCCAGCCAUGCCGCGUGAGUGAUGAAGGCCCUAGGGUUGUAAAGCUCUUUUGUGCGGGAAGAUAAUGACGGUACCGCAAGAAUAACGCCCCGGCUAACUUCGCGCCAGCAGCCGC
This 449-nucleotide ribosomal RNA is filed under the name uncultured bacterium. Its description in RNAcentral is "SSU rRNA". It matches the Rfam family "Bacterial small subunit ribosomal RNA", at positions 26 to 518 of the family's 1533-position model. The record is from RNAcentral.